RNAcentral lists this ribosomal RNA (489 nucleotides) under uncultured bacterium. Its description in RNAcentral is "partial 16S ribosomal RNA". It matches the Rfam family "Bacterial small subunit ribosomal RNA", at positions 28 to 507 of the family's 1533-position model. The record is from RNAcentral.
GAUGAACGCUGGCGGCGUGCCUAAUACAUGCAAGUCGAGCGAACAGACGAGGAGCUUGCUCCUCUGACGUUAGCGGCGGACGGGUGAGUAACACGUGGAUAACCUACCUAUAAGACUGGGAUAACUUCGGGAAACCGGAGCUAAUACCGGAUAACAUGUUGAACCGCAUGGUUCAACAGUGAAAGACGGUUUUGCUGUCACUUAUAGAUGGAUCCGCGCCGCAUUAGCUAGUUGGUAAGGUAACGGCUUACCAAGGCAACGAUGAGUAGCCGAGCUGAGAGGCCAAGCAGCAACAGAGAAACGGAGACGAGGCCCAGACUAGGACGGGAGGGAGCAGUAAGGAAUAUUGGUCAAUGGGUGAAAUCCCGAAGCAGCGAGGCAGAAUGAGGGACGAAGGGCGUUUGAGUGUGAAACUCGGUAGUGAGAAAAAAAAAACCAAAUAUGUGGGUCAUGAUGGUACCUCAAAAGAAAGCCCCGGCUAACUACGUG